RNAcentral lists this small RNA (2607 nucleotides) under Pan troglodytes (chimpanzee). RNAcentral's name for it is "retained intron". Lineage: Eukaryota; Metazoa; Chordata; Mammalia; Primates; Hominidae. The record is from RNAcentral.
AUCCCCACUGAGAUGCUCCCUCAGCACCGAGCCCUCCCUCUGGACAGCUCCCCCAACCAGUUCAGCCUCUACACGUCUCCUUCUCUGCCCAACAUCUCCCUAGGGCUGCAGGCCACGGUCACUGUCACCAACUCACACCUCACUGCCUCCCCGAAGCUGUCGACACAGCAGGAGGCCGAGAGGCAGGCCCUCCAGUCCCUGCGGCAGGGUGGCACGCUGACAGGCAAGUUCAUGAGCACAUCCUCUAUUCCUGGCUGCCUGCUGGGCGUGGCACUGGAGGGCGACGGGAGCCCCCACGGGCAUGCCUCCCUGCUGCAGCAUGUGCUGUUGCUGGAGCAGGCCCGGCAGCAGAGUACCCUCAUUGCUGUGCCACUCCACGGGCAGUCCCCACUAGUGACGGGUGAACGUGUGGCCACCAGCAUGCGGACGGUAGGCAAGCUCCCGCGGCAUCGGCCCCUGAGCCGCACUCAGUCCUCACCGCUGCCGCAGAGUCCCCAGGCCCUGCAGCAGCUGGUCAUGCAACAACAGCACCAGCAGUUCCUGGAGAAGCAGAAGCAGCAGCAGCUACAGCUGGGCAAGAUCCUCACCAAGACAGGGGAGCUGCCCAGGCAGCCCACCACCCACCCUGAGGAGACAGAGGAGGAGCUGACAGAGCAGCAGGAGGUCUUGCUGGGGGAGGGAGCCCUGACCAUGCCCCGGGAGGGCUCCACAGAGAGUGAGAGCACACAGGAAGACCUGGAGGAGGAGGACGAGGAAGAGGAUGGGGAGGAGGAGGAGGAUUGCAUCCAGGUUAAGGACGAGGAGGGCGAGAGUGGUGCUGAGGAGGGGCCCGACUUGGAGGAGCCUGGUGCUGGAUACAAAAAACUGUUCUCAGAUGCCCAGCCGCUGCAGCCUUUGCAGGUGUACCAGGCGCCCCUCAGCCUGGCCACUGUGCCCCACCAGGCCCUGGGCCGUACCCAGUCCUCCCCUGCUGCCCCUGGGGGCAUGAAGAGCCCCCCAGACCAGCCCGUCAAGCACCUCUUCACCACAGGUGUGGUCUACGACACGUUCAUGCUAAAGCACCAGUGCAUGUGCGGGAACACACACGUGCACCCUGAGCAUGCUGGCCGGAUCCAGAGCAUCUGGUCCCGGCUGCAGGAGACAGGCCUGCUUAGCAAGUGCGAGCGGAUCCGAGGUCGCAAAGCCACGCUAGAUGAGAUCCAGACAGUGCACUCUGAAUACCACACCCUGCUCUAUGGGACCAGUCCCCUCAACCGGCAGAAGCUAGACAGCAAGAAGUUGCUCGGCCCCAUCAGCCAGAAGAUGUAUGCUGUGCUGCCUUGUGGGGGCAUCGGGGUGGACAGUGACACCGUGUGGAAUGAGAUGCACUCCUCCAGUGCUGUGCGCAUGGCAGUGGGCUGCCUGCUGGAGCUGGCCUUCAAGGUGGCUGCAGGAGAGCUCAAGAAUGGAUUUGCCAUCAUCCGGCCCCCAGGACACCACGCCGAGGAAUCCACAGCCAUGGGAUUCUGCUUCUUCAACUCUGUAGCCAUCACCGCAAAACUCCUACAGCAGAAGUUGAACGUGGGCAAGGUCCUCAUCGUGGACUGGGUAGGCAGUGAGCUGGUGGGGCUGGGCAGGGGCGGGUAGAGCUAGGACCAGGGUCAGCCUUCAGGAAGUCUCCUCCCCCAGCCCCACCUUCAAGCACCCCAGUCGUCCUCAUCCUCGGGUGCUGGGUGUGGGUGCAGAAAGAAGGGCGCUGGGGCUCCUGCCGGAUGACUAACGUCACAUUCCAACAGGGCUCCCUCCUCAACUAUGAAAGACAUUUAGCUCCUGUUCCAUCUUGGCCCUCACGUUGCAGUUUCAAGCAACGAAGGGGAUUUCCUACCUUGAACGGUAGUGACGCUGCCGCCAUUGCUAGUAGCCGAUAUUUCCUCCCACCCCCUACAAUUAGGAGCAGACUGUAUACCAGGAACCCAAUGAGUACUUUAUGGCCACCUCGAGUAGUAAGAACGAGGAUGUCCAUUUCUGUGAACAAAGGUGUUGUUGCGUGACUUACCCAAGGCCACUGAGCUGGGGAUGUCGGCACUGGGUUUCAGACCAAGGCUUUUGGCCCCAGCACUCUGCUCUUGCUACCAUGGGUGCUUCCCAAACCCUGCUCCUAAUGGUGGAGGCAGAGGCACACGCCACUCUCUGUGAGCUGGGGAAGUAGCCAGGAGCAAGCCUCAGGAAGGACAAAAUCUCUUGGAAGCCCAAUUCUGGCUUAAAAAUUCAUGUAAAUGUUGGAUCCUCCUUCAGAAUCUUAUGUGCUUGUGGUUGGGCACAAUGGCUCAAAGCCUGUAAUCCCAGCAUUUUGGGAGGCCAAGGUGGGUGAAUCACUUGGGGUCAGGAGUUCGAGACCAGGAUGGCCAACAUGGUGAAACCCUGUCUCCACUGAAAAUUCAAAAAAAUUAGCUAGGUGUGGUGGCGGGAGCCUGUAAUCCCACCUAUUGGGGAGGCUGAGGCAGGAGAAUUCCUUGAACCUGGGAAGUGGAGGUUGCAGUGAGUCAAGAUCAUGCCACUGCACUCCAGCCUCGAUGACAGAGUGAGAUUCUGUCUCAAAAAAAAAAAAAAAAAAAAAGAAAAGAAAAG